Molecule: ribosomal RNA, 253 nt
Filed under: uncultured bacterium
Lineage: Bacteria
Description: partial 16S ribosomal RNA
Rfam family: Bacterial small subunit ribosomal RNA
Source: RNAcentral
UACAGAGGGUGCGAGCGUUAAUCGGAAUUACUGGGCGUAAAGCGUGCGUAGACGGUUAUUUAAGUCGGGUGUGAAAGCCCCGGGCUCAACCUGGGAAUUGCAUUCGAGACUGAAUAGCUAGGGUACGGUAGAGGGAAGUGGAAUUUCCGGUGUAGCGGUGAAAUGCGUAGAUAUCGGAAGGAACACCAGUGGCGAAGGCGGCUCACUGGUCCAUUACUGACGCUGAGGUGCGAAAGCGUGGGGAGCAAACAGG